Molecule: ribosomal RNA, 440 nt
Filed under: uncultured bacterium
Lineage: Bacteria
Description: partial 16S ribosomal RNA
Rfam family: Bacterial small subunit ribosomal RNA
Source: RNAcentral
CCUACGGGUGGCAGCAGUGGGGGAUAUUGCACAAUGGGGGAAACCCUGAUGCAGCGACGCCGCGUGUGGGACGACGGUCCUCUGGAUUGUAAACCACUGUCCCCAGGGACGAAGAUGACGGUACCUGGGGCGGAAGCUCCGGCUAACUACGUGCCAGCAGCCGCGGUAAUACGGAGGGAGCAAGCGUUGUCCGGAAUUACUGGGUGUAAAGGGAGCGUAGGCGGGAUGGAAAGUUGGGUGUUAAAUCUACCGGCUCAACUGGGAGUCGCACUCGAAACUGCUAUUCUUGAGUGAAGUAGAGGCAUGCGGAAUGCCUAGUGUAGCGGUGAAAUGCGUAGAUAUUAGGAGGAACACCAGUGGCGAAGGCGGCCUGCUGGGCGUUUACUGACGCUGAGGCUCGAAAGUGUGGGUAGCAAACAGGAUUAGAUACCCGAGUAGUC